AUUGAACGCUGGCGGCAUGCUUUACACAUGCAAGUCGAACGGUAACAGGCCUUCGGGCGCUGACGAGUGGCGAACGGGUGAGUAACGCAUCGGAACGUGCCCAGUCGUGGGGGAUAACGCAGCGAAAGCUGUGCUAAUACCGCAUACGAUCUGCGGAUGAAAGCGGGGGACCUUCGGGCCUCGCGCGAUUGGAGCGGCCGAUGUCAGAUUAGGUAGUUGGUGGGGUAAAAGGCCUACCAAGCCUGCGAUCUGUAGCUGGUCUGAGAGGACGACCAGCCACACUGGGACUGAGACACGGCCCAGACUCCUACGGGAGGCAGCAGUGGGGAAUUUUGGACAAUGGGCGCAAGCCUGAUCCAGCCAUGCCGCGUGCGGGAAGAAGGCCUCGGUGUAACGCUUUGUCAGGGAGAAACGCUCUGGGCGUAAUACCCUGGGGUAAUGACGGUACCUCGAAGAAUAAGACACCGGCUAACUACGUGCCAGCAGCCG
RNAcentral lists this ribosomal RNA (489 nucleotides) under uncultured bacterium. RNAcentral describes it as "bacterial SSU rRNA". It matches the Rfam family "Bacterial small subunit ribosomal RNA", at positions 29 to 517 of the family's 1533-position model. The record is from RNAcentral.